GACGAACGCUGGCGGCGUGCUUAACACAUGCAAGUCGAACGGAAAGGCCCUGCUUUUGUGGGGUGCUCGAGUGGCGAACGGGUGAGUAACACGUGAGUAACCUGCCCUUGACUUUGGGAUAACUUCAGGAAACUGGGGCUAAUACAGGAUAGGAGAUCCUGCUGCAUGGUGGGGGUUGGAAAGUUUCGGCGGUUGGGGAUGGACUCGCGGCUUAUCAGCUUGUUGGUUGGGUAGUGGUAUACCAAGCCUUUGACGGGUAGGCGGCCUGAGAGGGUGACCGGCCACAUUGGGACUGAGAUACGGCCCAGAGUCCUACGGUAGGCAGCAGGGGGGAAUAUUGCACAAUGGGCGGAAGCCUGAUGCAGCGACGCCGCGUGCGGGAUGACGGCCUUCGGGUUGUAAACCGCUUUCGCCUGUGACGAAGCGUGAGUGACGGUAAUGGGUAAAGAAGCACCGGCUAACUACGUG
This 468-nucleotide ribosomal RNA is filed under the name uncultured bacterium. Its description in RNAcentral is "partial 16S ribosomal RNA". It matches the Rfam family "Bacterial small subunit ribosomal RNA", at positions 28 to 507 of the family's 1533-position model. The record is from RNAcentral.